Molecule: ribosomal RNA, 569 nt
Filed under: uncultured bacterium
Lineage: Bacteria
Description: partial 16S ribosomal RNA
Rfam family: Bacterial small subunit ribosomal RNA
Source: RNAcentral
UGGGGAAUCUUCCGCAAUGGACGAAAGUCUGACGGAGCAACGCCGCGUGAGUGAAGAAGGUUUUCGGAUCGUAAAACUCUGUCUUUUGGGGCGAACGUGAGUAUGGUGAACAAUCAUAGUCAGUGACGGUACCAAAGGAGGAAGCCACGGCUAACUACGUGCCAGCAGCCGCGGUAAUACGUAGGUGGCAAGCGUUGUCCGGAAUUAUUGGGCGUAAAGAGCGCGUAGGCAGGAUAGUCAGUCUGUUGUAAAAGUGCGGGGCUCAACCCCGUGAUGGCAAUGGAAACAGCUAUUCUUGAGUGCAGGAGAGGAAAGUGGAAUUCCCAGUGUAGCGGUGAAAUGCGUAGAUAUUGGGAGGAACACCAGUGGCGAAGGCGACUUUCUGGACUGUGUCUGACGCUGAGGCGCGAAAGCCAGGGGAGCGAACGGGAUUAGAUACCCCGGUAGUCCUGGCCGUAAACGAUGGGUACUAGGUGUGGGAGGUAUCGACCCCUUCCGUGCCGGAGUUAACGCAAUAAGUACCCCGCCUGGGGAGUACGGUCGCAAGACUGAAACUCAAAGGAAUUGAC